GAUGAACGCUGGCGGCGUGCCUAAUACAUGCAAGUCGAGCGAACAGAUAAGGCUCUUGCUCCUUUUACGUUAGCGGCGGACGGGUGAGUAACACGUGGGUAACCGACCUAUAAGACUGGCAUAACUCCGGGAAACCGGGUCUAAUACCGGAUAACAUGUUGAACGGGAUGGUUCUACAGAGCAAAGGCGAUUUGCUGACACUUAUAGAUGUACCCGAGCCGGAUUAGCUAGUUGGUGAGGUAACGGCUCACCAAGGCAACGAUACGUAGCCGACCUGAGAGGGUGAUCGGCCACACUGGAACUGAGACACGGUCCAGACUCCUACGGGAGGCAGCAGUAGGGAAUCUUCGGCAAUGGGCGAAAGCCUGACGGAGCAACGCCGCGUGAGUGAUGAAGGUCUUCGGAUCGUAAAACUCUUUUAGUAGGGAAGAACAACUGCGAAAGUAACUGUGCGCGUCUUGACGGUACCUAAUCAGAAAGCCACGGCUAACUACGUG
RNAcentral lists this ribosomal RNA (497 nucleotides) under uncultured bacterium. Its description in RNAcentral is "partial 16S ribosomal RNA". It matches the Rfam family "Bacterial small subunit ribosomal RNA", at positions 28 to 507 of the family's 1533-position model. The record is from RNAcentral.